UUUGGCCCCCACCUAAUCAGUCAAAGGUUUCACAAAGCAGAUUAGAGUACAAAAUAUGGAGAACUGGAACAGGUUUUAAUGCUACAAAAUAGACAGCUCAGUGCUAGAACUCUGGAAUUUCUGACUGGGUCCUUGGCACUCUUGAAACUCUCCAGGCCACAGUUUGUUGCCAGUGGCUCAGAAGAACUACAGAGUAAACAUGCCUUUCAUUAAAGACCAAAAGAGUAUAAUAUCAAGGAAGCAGAGGCCCAGAAGGCAGGCUGCCAUAUCAGCUCUUUCACUAAAAGCAAAUCUAACUCGUGUGCUGAUAUGAGGCAAAAGUUCCAGCAGAACAUGAAGAAACAGCUUGUUCUUUAUGUGACACCCUCAUGAGCCUUGAGAGGUAGGAAAAGACUCUUUUCCUGUGUACUCUUAAAACACAACCCACCUUACUGCUGACCAGAUUUAGGACUUGUCUUCAGGCCCUUUAAAGAUGCAUUUAUUUGUCUAGGCAUUCAAAUGAGAAUACAGGGAUGAUGAUAGACAAUUUUGUGACUGCAUACAAAAAUAUAUUACAGGU
This 559-nucleotide long non-coding RNA is filed under the name Manacus vitellinus (golden-collared manakin). Its description in RNAcentral is "lncRNA (ENSMVIG00005006002.1)". The record is from RNAcentral. Lineage: Eukaryota; Metazoa; Chordata; Aves; Passeriformes; Pipridae.